This 85-nucleotide transfer RNA is filed under the name Acromyrmex echinatior (Panamanian leafcutter ant). It matches the Rfam family "tRNA". Rfam says of the family: Transfer RNA (tRNA) molecules are approximately 80 nucleotides in length. Their secondary structure includes four short double-helical elements and three loops (D, anti-codon, and T loops). Lineage: Eukaryota; Metazoa; Arthropoda; Insecta; Hymenoptera; Formicidae. The record is from Rfam by way of RNAcentral.
GGGCCAUUAGCUCAGUUGGUCAGAGCGUCGCAAAUAAUAUUAUGGAUUGAAGCGAAGGUCGGGGGUUCGAUCCCCUCAUGGUCCA